UGAAAGUCCAAAUGGAUGUCUUCAUUGAUCUCCCAGUUCAAAGCAGUUAAUUUCUCUUCUAUUCUAUGGAAUACAAAAUGACUUUAUUUCAAUGGUACAAUGUUUCUUUUCCUCCAGGUGUGUCCCAGUAUACUUGCAUCUUGGUCACAAAAACAAAACUAAAUAAAGAAUUCUUCUCACAAGACAGUGUGUGUGCACUGUGUGGUGUGCCUGCGUGCGUGUGUGUGUGUGUGUCUUGGGCAAACAAACUGAUCCUUUUCUUUGCCUUUUAAGAGAAAGAUUUGCUUUUUUUUAUUUAUUUUUUUUGAAGAGAAGUGAUCAUGUUUCUUGAUAGUUCAGGAUAGUGGACAGAUCG
RNAcentral lists this long non-coding RNA (355 nucleotides) under Androctonus crassicauda. Lineage: Eukaryota; Metazoa; Arthropoda; Arachnida; Scorpiones; Buthidae. The record is from RNAcentral.